GCCGGCGUAGCUCAGCUGGUUAGAGCGUAGGAAUCAUAACCCUAAGGUCGCAGGAUCGUCCCCUGCCGCCGGCA
Molecule: transfer RNA, 74 nt
Filed under: Parcubacteria bacterium C7867-007
Lineage: Bacteria; Candidatus Parcubacteria
Description: tRNA-Met
Rfam family: tRNA
About the family: Transfer RNA (tRNA) molecules are approximately 80 nucleotides in length.
Source: RNAcentral